Molecule: ribosomal RNA, 2859 nt
Filed under: Salmonella enterica subsp. enterica serovar Enteritidis
Lineage: Bacteria; Pseudomonadati; Pseudomonadota; Gammaproteobacteria; Enterobacterales; Enterobacteriaceae
Description: bacterial LSU rRNA
Rfam family: Bacterial large subunit ribosomal RNA
Source: RNAcentral
GGGUUGUGAGGUUAAGCGACUAAGCGUACACGGUGGAUGCCCUGGCAGUCAGAGGCGAUGAAGGGCGUGCUAAUCUGCGAUAAGCGCCGGUAAGGUGAUAUGAACCGUUAUAACCGGCGAUACCCGAAUGGGGAAACCCAGUGUGAUUCGUCACACUAUCAUUAACUGAAUCCAUAGGUUAAUGAGGCGAACCGGGGGAACUGAAACAUCUAAGUACCCCGAGGAAAAGAAAUCAACCGAGAUUCCCCCAGUAGCGGCGAGCGAACGGGGAGGAGCCCAGAGCCUGAAUCAGCAUGUGUGUUAGUGGAAGCGUCUGGAAAGGCGCGCGAUACAGGGUGACAGCCCCGUACACAAAAGCGCAUGUGCUGUGAGCUCGAUGAGUAGGGCGGGACACGUGGUAUCCUGUCUGAAUAUGGGGGGACCAUCCUCCAAGGCUAAAUACUCCUGACUGACCGAUAGUGAACCAGUACCGUGAGGGAAAGGCGAAAAGAACCCCGGCGAGGGGAGUGAAAAAGAACCUGAAACCGUGUACGUACAAGCAGUGGGAGCNNNNNNNNNNNNNNNNNNNNNNNNNNNNNNNNNNNNNNNGGGCGUUAAGUUGCAGGGUAUAGACCCGAAACCCGGUGAUCUAGCCAUGGGCAGGUUGAAGGUUGGGUAACACUAACUGGAGGACCGAACCGACUAAUGUUGAAAAAUUAGCGGAUGACCUGUGGCUGGGGGUGAAAGGCCAAUCAAACCGGGAGAUAGCUGGUUCUCCCCGAAAGCUAUUUAGGUAGCGCCUCGUGAAUUCAUCUCCGGGGGUAGAGCACUGUUUCGGCUAGGGGGCCAUCCCGGCUUACCAACCCGAUGCAAACUGCGAAUACCGGAGAAUGUUAUCACGGGAGACACACGGCGGGUGCUAACGUCCGUCGUGAAGAGGGAAACAACCCAGACCGCCAGCUAAGGUCCCAAAGUCAUGGUUAAGUGGGAAACGAUGUGGGAAGGCCCAGACAGCCAGGAUGUUGGCUUAGAAGCAGCCAUCAUUUAAAGAAAGCGUAAUAGCUCACUGGUCGAGUCGGCCUGCGCGGAAGAUGUAACGGGGCUAAACCAUGCACCGAAGCUGCGGCAGCGACACUGUGUGUUGUUGGGUAGGGGAGCGUUCUGUAAGCCUGCGAAGGUGGCCUGUGAGGGUUGCUGGAGGUAUCAGAAGUGCGAAUGCUGACAUAAGUAACGAUAAAGCGGGUGAAAAGCCCGCUCGCCGGAAGACCAAGGGUUCCUGUCCAACGUUAAUCGGGGCAGGGUGAGUCGACCCCUAAGGCGAGGCCGAAAGGCGUAGUCGAUGGGAAACGGGUUAAUAUUCCCGUACUUGGUGUUACUGCGAAGGGGGGACGGAGAAGGCUAUGUUGGCCGGGCGACGGUUGUCCCGGUUUAAGCGUGUAGGUGUGUGUUCCAGGUAAAUCCGGUUCACUUUAACACUGAGGCGUGACGACGAGGCACUACGGUGCUGAAGCAACAAAUGCCCUGCUUCCAGGAAAAGCCUCUAAGCAUCAGGUAACAUCAAAUCGUACCCCAAACCGACACAGGUGGUCAGGUAGAGAAUACCAAGGCGCUUGAGAGAACUCGGGUGAAGGAACUAGGCAAAAUGGUGCCGUAACUUCGGGAGAAGGCACGCUGACACGUAGGUGAAGUGAUUUACUCAUGGAGCUGAAGUCAGUCGAAGAUACCAGCUGGCUGCAACUGUUUAUUAAAAACACAGCACUGUGCAAACACGAAAGUGGACGUAUACGGUGUGACGCCUGCCCGGUGCCGGAAGGUUAAUUGAUGGGGUCAGCGCAAGCGAAGCUCCUGAUCGAAGCCCCGGUAAACGGCGGCCGUAACUAUAACGGUCCUAAGGUAGCGAAAUUCCUUGUCGGGUAAGUUCCGACCUGCACGAAUGGCGUAAUGAUGGCCAGGCUGUCUCCACCCGAGACUCAGUGAAAUUGAACUCGCUGUGAAGAUGCAGUGUACCCGCGGCAAGACGGAAAGACCCCGUGAACCUUUACUAUAGCUUGACACUGAACAUUGAGCCUUGAUGUGUAGGAUAGGUGGGAGGCUUUGAAGUGUGGACGCCAGUCUGCAUGGAGCCGACCUUGAAAUACCACCCUUUAAUGUUUGAUGUUCUAACGUGGACCCGUUACCCGGGUUGCGGACAGUGUCUGGUGGGUAGUUUGACUGGGGCGGUCUCCUCCUAAAGAGUAACGGAGGAGCACGAAGGUUGGCUAAUCCUGGUCGGACAUCAGGAGGUUAGUGCAAUGGCAUAAGCCAGCUUGACUGCGAGCGUGACGGCGCGAGCAGGUGCGAAAGCAGGUCAUAGUGAUCCGGUGGUUCUGAAUGGAAGGGCCAUCGCUCAACGGAUAAAAGGUACUCCGGGGAUAACAGGCUGAUACCGCCCAAGAGUUCAUAUCGACGGCGGUGUUUGGCACCUCGAUGUCGGCUCAUCACAUCCUGGGGCUGAAGUAGGUCCCAAGGGUAUGGCUGUUCGCCAUUUAAAGUGGUACGCGAGCUGGGUUUAGAACGUCGUGAGACAGUUCGGUCCCUAUCUGCCGUGGGCGCUGGAGAACUGAGGGGGGCUGCUCCUAGUACGAGAGGACCGGAGUGGACGCAUCACUGGUGUUCGGGUUGUCAUGCCAAUGGCACUGCCCGGUAGCUAAAUGCGGAAGAGAUAAGUGCUGAAAGCAUCUAAGCACGAAACUUGCCCCGAGAUGAGUUCUCCCUGAGACUUAGAGUCUCCUGAAGGAACGUUGAAGACGACGACGUUGAUAGGCCGGGUGUGUAAGCGCAGCGAUGCGUUGAGCUAACCGGUACUAAUGAACCGUGAGGCUUAACCUUACAACGCCGAAG